CUUUUUCUUUUGCUAGGUUAAUUAAAGAAGAAGGGGAAGGGGAAGGAGAAAAGUACUCACCGUCUGGCACCGCGUGGCUGGUCAUCAAGAAUUAACGCAGGCUGCCCCUGUACCGUGUCCAAUCAACGUCACGUUCCUAGGAUCGCCGCCGAAGUUGCCGAUGUUCUCCUGCACCCAAUGGAGCGCCGCGAUUUGAUCCAUCAGACCGUAAUUCGCCGGCGAGCAGUUUGCUUAUUGGAAAAAAGAGAGGGGAGGUUGGUCCGGAACAAAGGGAGAAGUUUGGUGGAAAGGGAUGGGGUGGAGAGGAAGAGAGGUAACGAUAAUUCAACUGCGUACAGUAAGUCAAACUUCGGAAUGAUAACUCGGAACAUCUGUUGCGAUACUUAGCGAAGCAAUAAAGAGUUUAAUGAGUUUCG
Long non-coding RNA from Apis florea (little honeybee), 416 nucleotides. The record is from RefSeq and is a predicted model, not a curated record. NCBI's taxonomy places the organism in Eukaryota, Metazoa, Arthropoda, Insecta, Hymenoptera, Apidae.